This is a long non-coding RNA of Nymphaea colorata (pocket water lily), 900 nucleotides long. RefSeq lists it as uncharacterized. The transcript has 2 exons. The record is from RefSeq and is a predicted model, not a curated record. Lineage: Eukaryota; Viridiplantae; Streptophyta; Magnoliopsida; Nymphaeales; Nymphaeaceae.
AUAACAUUCUCACCAUCUGCAACUUAGUGUAACAGCAGACUGCGUGAAAACUUGGUGAGGGGAACAUAUACGAUCGAAAUCCAUUUCAGGAAUGAUCUGAAAUCUCAUCUUCAGUUGGUUUCAUCAUUCUCAAUACGGAUACAGAAUCCACCAAAAGUACGUGCAUCAGCGCUCUGUGAAUUGGCAGCUCGCAUAAUCUGCGCUUGGUUCCGGUCCUGGAGAUUAGCAGGAAUCUGUGAUCAUGGCGCCAUAUUACGCCUCCAUUUUAGCUGCAGAUCACGGGUGAGAAGUUGCACACUCAACAUGUUCAUUGCUUGGGAUCACAUACUAAAACAUGUUUCUUUGACAGUAACAACAUGAUUCUUGGUAACAAAAUUAUUUUUACAUUGUGGGCAGUUGAUUGUUGGGCUAGUAAACACGAAUUCUUGUUGCCCCACAAUCCAUAAUAACUACUAAAGUUCGUUUGGGGAUCAAUUUUUGACAAAUUUGUAGCGUUCUAACUUCAUCUGUCUCAUUCUUAUCUCAAGGCAAAUCCACCACCGACUCUUGCAUAUCCAAAUCAGCUUUAUUUUUGCCAGUAGCUGACUGUAGUAGGCUGCUAAUGCAUCAAAUCAACAGCUUUAAUUUAAGAGUUAAGAGUGCAACUAUCAUGUCAAUUUCUCGAUCACGAUAAGGGAGGAGCGAAUAAUAUAUCAAUUCACUGUCAGUUAGUGGAAGCUGAAGAAUUCUCCAAAAUAUAUUUCUUUGACUGGGGACGGAUUCGUUUUAUGUAUAACUUAGCAAAGGCCCCCUAAUGCUUUCGUUAUGUCAAAGGAAUUCACUGUCUGCAGCUUUCCACAGACAUUUUCCCGAAGUUGUAACCAGAUUAUGACUUAUAAAAGUAGCUCAUUGUGCUUUUGU